Molecule: ribosomal RNA, 487 nt
Filed under: uncultured Pseudomonadota bacterium
Lineage: Bacteria; Pseudomonadati; Pseudomonadota
Description: bacterial SSU rRNA
Rfam family: Bacterial small subunit ribosomal RNA
Source: RNAcentral
UGGGGAAUAUUGGACAAUGGGCGCAAGCCUGAUCCAGCCAUGCCGCGUGUGUGAAGAAGGCCUUCGGGUUGUAAAGCACUUUAAGUGGGGAGAAAGGCUCGUUGGCGAAUACCCAACGGGAUUGAUGUUACCCACAGAAUAAGCACCGGCUAACUCCGUGCCAGCAGCCGCGGUAAUACGGAGGGUGCGAGCGUUAAUCGGAAUUACUGGGCGUAAAGCGCGCGUAGGCGGUUUGUUAAGUCAGCUGUGAAAGCCCCGGGCUCAACCUGGGAACUGCAGUUGAUACUGGCCGACUAGAGUACGAGAGAGGGAGGUAGAAUUCCAUGUGUAGCGGUGAAAUGCGUAGAUAUAUGGAGGAAUACCAGUGGCGAAGGCGGCCUCCUGGCUCGAUACUGACGCUGAGGUGCGAAAGCGUGGGGAUCAAACAGGAUUAGAUACCCUGGUAGUCCACGCUGUAAACGAUGAACACUGGCUGUGCGAAGGCGAC